UUCCCAGGAUGCCAUAGCUUUCCAGCGGGU
RNAcentral lists this non-coding RNA (30 nucleotides) under Mus musculus (house mouse). Lineage: Eukaryota; Metazoa; Chordata; Mammalia; Rodentia; Muridae. The record is from RNAcentral.